Molecule: long non-coding RNA, 743 nt
Organism: Ornithodoros turicata
Lineage: Eukaryota; Metazoa; Arthropoda; Arachnida; Ixodida; Argasidae
Exons: 6
Source: RefSeq, a predicted model, not a curated record
UGCGUGUGAACACAGCCAACGGGUCAUUAGACGAAACCAUUGUUUUUCCUAUCCUUGGUCUCGUGCUUGACUCAGAUAAGACAGCGAUAGCUUUUCCUGGUACUGCAUACCUUAACGUAUGGGAAAGGGACAAGUAGAAGAACUUUCCAAAUGUGGCCUCUGAAGGUGCCAAGGAGUUUGUCUUGCUUUUUCUUCAUUUGCUGCCAACAGGGGUAAAGGGACAAGUAGAAGAACUUCCCAAACGUGGUCUCUGAAGAUGCCAAGUAGUGCUUUUUUCUCCAGGUACUGCCAAAAGGGGUAAAGGGACAAGUAGAAGGACUUCCCAAACGUGCUCUCUGAAGAUGCCAAGGAUUUUGCCUUGCUCUGUUUUCUCCAGUUGCCGCCAAAAGGUAGAUCUGGGAAGACGGGAGCACCUGCCACUUUCGGACUUGGAAAAUGGCAAGAGGAUUCUCUCAUUUCAUCAUUUCCACUUAGUGGGCCUGUGCAGACUGCGCUCAUGCCGAAUUUUGCCCUGAAAGAAUGCCAGAGCUUCUUCGUUUUCGCAAAAAAAAAUCACAAUAACAAUGAGCUCAGUUGAAGCACAAAUAUUGUCCAGAAGAUCGAAUUCAUUUUACGAGGAGUUAGGUCCUCAUGGCAUACCGAUCGCCAGCUGAUUAUUUCUUGGUGAUUAUGUCUCUGAUGAUGAUGCUUGAUUCCUUUCAAGUGCCUACUGAACCUUUAAUAAAAUAUUUUUGCAAAUUUGU